UUUUUUUUCUACUUUCCCUUCUAACUGGCAGCUAGGGUUUGUUUUUUAUUUUCCCUUUCAAAAAAACACCAUCACCGGCUCCAUUGUGACCAAAAUUCUCCUCUCAUUCACCGGCUUGUCCUCGCCCAUUGUUAUCCCAUCAAGAAUCAUUCGAUUGAGAGCCACCCAGAGGCAGAGGAGAGACACCCAAAGGCAAAGCCUGCUCAUACCACCGGUGAUCCUACUCCAACCUCCCGUUUGUUGUCAUUGUUCUCGCACCAUCGUCAUCCCACCAGGAGCUACUCGUCGCUGCAGCCGCAGUUCUAUAAUCUUAGGUUGCUAUUUAUCCUGGAAAUGUUCUCACAUUGCACAUGUCUAAGCCACCUCAGUUUAGGUACAAAAGUGGACAGUACAUGAUUGUGCAAUGCCCUGCUUUCUCUCCCUUUGUGUGGUUGUAUUUAUCAUAAUUUUCAUGGCAAAAGAAGGUACGUUGAAGAAAUUAUAUAAGGAGUGGACUUUGGUUGGUGCAUUGACUGCAUUAGGACAAGGAAGUUACUUCCAAGAUCCUAAAUGAUGAAAACAAGCAUCAUUUCUUCUGUGAGGUGGUUUUGGCUGUAGAGUCUAGAUGGUAUUUUAGUAUAAGAUGGAUGAUUUACAUAAAUACUUAAAUAAUUGAGUAUUGAUAUAAGCUUAGAUUAUUGGCUCCACUUCAUUGCAAUUUAUUUUUUUAUUUUUAUGUAAGCAACUAGGUGCUAUAUUGCAAGAAGUGAACUUUUUUUUUUCUUUUUCUGGAUUUAGAUUUAUAUUUUUCAUAAACAAUAUUACCAACCUUGGUUGCAAAAAGAGUUGUACGAUAGAAAGUCUAGCAUUAGUUCCCAAAAGAAUCAGGCAAAAGUCAAAUUAUAUUUACUGCUUUUA
Ziziphus jujuba (common jujube) is the source of this 897-nucleotide long non-coding RNA. RefSeq lists it as uncharacterized. The record is from RefSeq and is a predicted model, not a curated record. NCBI's taxonomy places the organism in Eukaryota, Viridiplantae, Streptophyta, Magnoliopsida, Rosales, Rhamnaceae. The transcript has 3 exons.